GUGGGAAUCUGGCCUCUAGAGGGGGAUAACUCGGGGAAACUCGGGCUAAUACCGCAUAAUCUCUAAGGAGGAAAGCGGGGGACCGAAAGGCCUCGCGCUGGGGGAUGAGCCUGGGUCCGAUUAGCUAGUUGGUGGGGUAAGGGCCUACCAAGGCGAUGAUCGGUAGCUGGUCUGAGAGGACGAUCAGCCACACUGGGACUGAGACACGGCCCAGACUCCUACGGGAGGCAGCAGUGGGGAAUAUUGGACAAUGGGGGCAACCCUGAUCCAGCAAUGCCGCGUGGGUGAAGAAGGCUUUCGGGUUGUAAAGCCCUUUCAGUGGGGAAGAAAAGCGAUGUGUGAAUAGCACAUCGUGUUGACGUUACCUACAGAAGAAGCACCGGCUGACUCCGUGCCAGCAGCCGCGGUAAUACGGAGGGUGCGAGCGUUAAUCGGAAUUACUGGGCGUAAAGGGCGCGUAGGCGGUUUGGUAAGUUGGGUGUGAAAGCCCCGGGCUCAACCUGGGAAUGGCACUUGAUACUGCCUGGCUAGAGUAUGGUAGAGGGAGGCGGAAUUUCCGGUGUAGCGGUGAAAUGCGUAGAUAUCGGAAGGARCACCAGUGGCGAAGGCGGCCUCCUGGACCACUACUGACGCUUGAGGGCGAAAAGCRUGGGAGCAAACAGGAUUAGAUCCCUGGUAGUCCACGCUCUAACGAUGAGAACUAGACGUUGGGAGGGUAGCCUUUCAGUGUUGCAGCUUACGCGUUAAGUUCUCCGCCUGGGGAGUACGGCCGCAAGGUUGAAACUCAAAUGAWUUGACGGGGGCCCGCACAAGCGGUGGAGCAUGUGGUUUAAUUCGAUGCUACGCGAAGAACCUUACCUGGCCUUGACAUCCCCGGAACUUUGCUGAGAGGCGAAGGUGCCUUCGGGAGCCGGGAGACAGGUGCUGCAUGGCUGUCGUCAGCUCGUG
Molecule: ribosomal RNA, 948 nt
Filed under: uncultured Pseudomonadota bacterium
Lineage: Bacteria; Pseudomonadati; Pseudomonadota
Description: bacterial SSU rRNA
Rfam family: Bacterial small subunit ribosomal RNA
Source: RNAcentral